Molecule: ribosomal RNA, 446 nt
Filed under: uncultured bacterium
Lineage: Bacteria
Description: bacterial SSU rRNA
Rfam family: Bacterial small subunit ribosomal RNA
Source: RNAcentral
GUCCAGACUCCUACGGGAGGCAGCAGUGGGGAAUAUUGCACAAUGGGGGAAACCCUGAUGCAGCGACGCCGCGUGAGCGAUGAAGUAUUUCGGUAUGUAAAGCUCUAUCAGCAGGGAAGAAAAUGACGGUACCUGACUAAGAAGCCCCGGCUAACUACGUGCCAGCAGCCGCGGUAAUACGUAGGGGGCAAGCGUUAUCCGGAUUUACUGGGUGUAAAGGGAGCGUAGACGGCUGUGCAAGCCAGAUGUGAAAGCCCGGGGCUCAACCCCGGGACUGCAUUUGGAACUGUGUGGCUGGAGUGUCGGAGAGGCGGGCGGAAUUUCUAGUGUAGCGGUGAAAUGCGUAGAUAUUAGGAAGAACGCCAGUGGCGAAGGCGGCUUGCUGGACAGUAACUGACGUUGAGGCUCGAAAGCGUGGGGAGCAAACAGGAUUAGAUACCCUUGUA